RNAcentral lists this long non-coding RNA (7376 nucleotides) under Nicotiana tabacum (common tobacco). Its description in RNAcentral is "long non-coding RNA (NTAB_LNC015663)". The record is from RNAcentral. Lineage: Eukaryota; Viridiplantae; Streptophyta; Magnoliopsida; Solanales; Solanaceae.
CUACUUAUAAGGAGUUAGAUUGUCACGACCCAAAUUUUUCUCCGUAGGAUGUCGUGGUGGCACCUAGUCUAAGACUAGAUAAGCCUAACAAAUAUGCAGAAUAACUUAAUUAAUAGUUAAGCCUCAAACUCAGCAACUAUGUAAAACAAACUCUGCAAAUUAACAUAUACAACUCCCGAGACCCGAUGAAAUACAAGUCACAAGCUUUAAGUAGAAAUACUGGAUAAUCCGAUACAUCAAUGUCUAUAUCUAAAACGAUAAUGCAUAAUGAUAUCUAGAGGGAGGAGAACUCUGAGGCCUGCGGACGAUGGCAGGUAUACCUUGAAGUCUCCGUAGCAGAAUCCUAGCUAAUGCAUAGGAUGGUAGGAAGUACCUAGAUAUGCACAAAAAGAUGUGUAGAAGAGUAGCAUGCGUACACCACAAUAGUACCCAAUAAGUGUCAAGUCUAACCUCGAUAGAGUAGUGACAAGAUCAAGUCAGGUCCCUACUGAAAAUAAAUAAGAAGACUGAACAAGUGUAAGGUACUGUAAUAAUGACAGUAAUGAAAUUGAAACAACAAAUAUCAUAUCAAGAUUUAACUACACGAACUAAGCAAUUAGUGCAAUGCGGAUAAAACAAAUAAAAAUUCUAAGGAAACAAUAACCAAAGACAAGUGCAAUAACAGAGAAAUUCUAAUAAGAGUCACUACCGGGGUACCGCCUUAUAGUGUCAAAUCACAAGAAUAAGUUACAAUCUUUCCUUAUAUCACCGCGGGAGCCUUCACAUUUAGUUUUGAAAAUUAUUUUUUCCGAAAUAGUAUCUCGAGUUUUAGCCCACCUUAUCACACCGCAUGUCUUCUAGUAGUUCCCCUACUAGCCACGUGUAUCAAGCCCGCCUUAUCUCACCACAUACGUUUCAACCCCAAGACCUUAUACCACCACAUGCAUAUCAAUAUCACAAUGUAUAACAAAUCGCACCUCAAGUGCCCAAUAUCACAACUAGCCGUAGAAACCAAACAAUAACAGAAUUCGCAAUUAGGAGCCCACCGCUCAACCACAAUGUACACAAAGCCUCAACAAUAACAACCGGAAGUGAAUAACUCAAUAAAAUGAUAUUUCACAACACUUUCCCUAAAUAGAAAUUUCGGCCGUUGUAACUCGAUACCAAUUUCAACAAUCAGAUAUUUCCAAGAAAGACAACUUCAAGUAAAGAGUUCAACAAUUAAAUAAUGAAUACGGAAUAAAGGAACAAGAUCUUCAACUAAACAUGUAGAGCAAAUAGCAAGUAAGAGAUAAGACAAGUAGACAUGUGAAAUAGACUAGAAAGGAUGACUAUAACAUGUUAAGAUAACUCAAUUAAGACAUGAAAUGAAAUCAACAUAGCUAAAAAUGGUAGUUUCUAUAUUUAGCCCGUGUACACACUCGUCACCUUGCGUACAUGAUUUUCACAUACCACAAUUAUCAUAAUCGAUAAACUCCUAAGGGGUAUUUCCCAUAGAAGGUUAGACAAGUCACUUACCUCAAAUCGAGCUAACUUAAUCAACUAGAAGGCCUUUCCCUCUAUUAUCCGACUCUGAACGGCUCGAAUCUAACCAAAACAACUUCAUACAAUAAAUAUAAACUAUAGGAAACUAAUUCAAACAAUAAAAUUAUGACCUUUAAUAAGAAAUAAAAAGUCAACUUAAAAAGUCCACCCGAACAUCCAUGUCGAACCCAACCAAAGUUAUACAAUUCGAACACCCAUUCGAUAACGAGUCCACUCAUACAAGAAUUACUGAAAUCCGACCUCAAAUAGCCUUGAAAAUCCUUAAUUUUUAGCCUAAGAAGUUUUACAAAUUUUUCUCAAAUUUUCAGCUCAAAAACACUAAUUAAAUGAUGAAAUUAUCAACAGAUUCAUGUAAAUUAACCAAAACCGAGUUAGGAUUCCUUAUUCCAAAGUUCUCUAUAAAAACCCUCAAAAUAUUGCCUCCCACCGAGCUCUCUAUGUCCAAAAAUGGACUAUGAAGAUUUACCCUCGAACAAGACCUUUCUGCUCAGUGAUCCUCGCUUUUGCGGGCCUGGGGUCGCACAUGCGGAAAAACCAUCACAGGUGCAGAUUCCACUUAAGUCUAGGAGUACCGCUUCUAAGGACCAUGGCUCGCACCUGCGAUCCCGCUUCUACAGAGAAGGAGACCGCACCUGCGGUCCUGCCCAAAGCCUCCUCCUCCAAUUCUUCUUCUACGCAAGCUGGUCCGCGCCUACGUAGGCGCAUAUGCACCCAUGUGUCCGAACCUGCGAGCCCAGCCCCGGCUCUCCUUUUCCCUCCUGCGCUGCACCUUCCGCACCCACAAUUCUGCACCUACAGUCAAUCCCUCUGCAUGUGCGAUAACACCAGCAGGCUUGGGACUUCUGCAAUGAAGCUAAGUCCAAAAUUGGUCUGAAUUCGAUCCGAACCAGACCCGGGGGCCGAGGACCCCGUCUGAAUAUACCAACAAGUUCCAAAACAUAUAACGGACCUGUUCGAGGAAAAAAAUCACGUCAAACAACAUCGAUUCUACUAAUCGCAACCCAAAAUCAAGCCUAUGCAACUAUGAACUUUUGAAUUCCGAAACAAAUGCGGAUUCAUACCAAAACAACUCCGAUUGACUCCAACAUUUUCACACAAGUUAUAAAUGACAUCGCUGACCUAUUCUAACUUCCAAAACCGGUAUUUGACCCCGAUAUCAUUAAUGUCUACUCUCAGUCAAACUUUCCAAAAUCUUUUUUUUUCAACGUUCGCCAAUUCAUGCCGAAAUGACCAAGUCAACAUCCAGACAUGCUCCUAAGUCUAAAAUCACCAUACAGAGCUCUUGUAUCCGUCAAAACUCCAUUCUGAGGUCGUCUAGACAAAAUUCAAACUACGGUUAACUCUUUCAACUUAAACCUCCCAACUUUGGGAUUAUGUGUCCCAUUUCACUAUGAAACUCACCCGGAACAAAACCCAAACAUCCCGGCAAGUUACAUAACCACAAUAUAUCACAGAAAAGGCAAUAAAUAGGGGAUCAAGACUAAAUUACUCAAAAUAACCGACCGGUUAAUUACCUCCUACCUCUCUUAAAGAAAAUGUUCGUCCUCAAACGAGUGUAGAGACAUACCUGAAGUGGUGAAAAGAUGAGGAUAACGGCUAAGUAUAUCAUGCUCGAUCUCCCAAGUCUCCUCCUCGACUGGCUGACCCCUCCACUAAACCUUGGCUGACGCAAUGUUCUUCGACCUCAACUUCCGAACCUGCCUGUCCAAAAUGGCCACCGGCUCAACAUAAGACAAAAUCCUUGUCCAACUGGACUGAGAUGAAAUCUUACACGUGAGACGGAUCACUGUGAUUCUUCCGAAGCAUAGAAAUAUGAAAUACUGGAUGAACUGCAGUUAGACUAGGUGAUAGUGCAAGCCUAUAGGCCACCUCUUCAAUCCUCUCAUGUAUCUCAAAUGGUACGAUAUACCUAGGUAUCAAAUUUCCCUUCUUCCCAAACCUCAUAACACCCUUUAUUGGCGAAACCCGGAGCAAGACCUGCCCAACCAUGAAUGUAACAUCGCGACCCUUCCAAUCCGCAUAACUCUUCUAUCUGGAUUGAGCUGUACGAAGUCGAUCUUGAAUAAAUAUAACCUUUUCCAAAGCAUCCUGAACCAAGUCUGUACCCCGUAGCCUAGCCUCACCCGGCUCAAACCAACCCACUAGACACCGGCACCACCUCCCAUACAAAGACUCAUACAAAACCAUCUGAAUGCUCGACUGGUAGCUGUUUUGUAGGCAAACUCCACAAGAAGCAAUAACUGAUCCCAAGAACCCCAAGACUCCAUCACACACGCGCAGAGCAUAUCCUCCAGUAUCUGAAUAGUAUGCUUGGACUGUCCAUCCGUCUGAGGGUGAAUGUUGUACUCAACUCAAACCGUGUGCCUAAUUUAUGUUGUACGUCCCUACAGAACCGUGAUGUAAACUGUGUACCCUGGUCAAAGAUGACAAGUACUAGCGCCAUGAAGUCUGACAAUCUCGCAAAUAUAAACCUUACCCAACUCCUCUGAGUAAUAAGUGGUCACCACUGGAAUGAAAUGAGCCAACUUGGUCAACCUCUCUACAAUCACCCAUACUGCCUCGAACUUCCUCUGAGUCCAUGGAAGCCCAACAAAAAAAUCCAUAGUAACCCGCUCCCAUUUCCACUAUAGAAUCUCUAACCUUUGAAGUAGUCCACUUGGCCGUUAAUGCUCAUACUUUACCUACUGACAAUUUAGGCACCGAGCCACAUACUCCACUAUAUCUUUCUUCAUCCUCCUCCACCAAUAGUGCUGUCUCAAGUCUUGAUACAUCUUUGCGGCACCUGGAUGAAUAGAAUACUGCAAACUGUGAGCCUCCUGGAGAAUCAACUCCUGCAAACCAUCUACAUUGGACACACAUAGCUUUCUUGCUUCUAUAAUACACCAUCCUUCCCAAUAGCGACCUCAUUGGCAUCGUCGUGCUGAACCGUGUCUUUGAGGACAAGCAAAUGGAAGUUGUCAUACUAAUGUUCUCUGAUAAGAUCAUAAAGAGAAGACCGUGAAACCACACAUGCCAAAACUUGACUCAGCUCUGAAACAUACAAUCUAACAAACUGGUUGUCCAAGUCCUAACAUCCAAGGCUAAUGGCCUCUGCAUUGCCAGUACAUAUGCUAAACUGCCAAAGCUCUUUUCCUUGUAACUCAUGGAAUUGGCCACGAUGUUGGCCUUCUCGGAAUGAUAUAGAAUGGUGAUAUCAUAAUCCUUAAGCAACUAUAACCACCUAUGUUGAUGCAAGAUAAGAUCCUUCUAUUUGAACAAAUGCUGUAGACUCCGGUUGUCAGUAUAGACCUCACAAGGGACAUCGUACAAUAGUGCUGCCAAAUCUUCAAGGCAUGAACAAUAGCUGCUAACUCGAGGUCAUAGACAAGAUAGUUCUUCUCAUGCACCUUCAACUGCCUAGAUGCGUAGGCUAUCACCCUACCGUCCUAUAUCAAUACCACGCCGAGGCCAACACGCGAUACCUCACAGUAUAUAGUAUAAGCCCCCGAACCCGUAGGAAAUACCAACACUGAGGUUGUAGUCAAAACUGUCUAGCACUUUUGAAAACUUUCCUUACACUCGUCGGUCCACCUGAACAGAGCACCCUUCUAGGUCAAUCUGAUCUAGGCCAACUCUGUACUGCUUCAAUCUUAUUUGGAUCUACCUUGAUCCCCUCACUCGACACUACAUAACCCAAAAAUGCCACCGAAUCAAGCCAUAAGUCACACUUUGAAAAUUUUGCAUACAACUAGCUCACUUGGCUCAACAAUAGAAAUCCCUACAGUUCAGCCAUCCACGACUAAUUAAUUCACUCUUCUUAAAGAUCUUGUGAAAUGGUCUAUGUCAUUCGCUUUCCCUUCCAUUCUUAUGGUAACUAGGCCUGAUAGCAUCUUUGCUAGUCUUUCCGGACUAGGAGCUCUACUAGGAUUGAUCAUGGGAAAUUACUUGAUUUAUGAAAGAAAGAAUGACGUGGGUGUCACACCUCUUUUUUACCACACGAGGGUAUAUGAGAGUUUUUUCCAAAUUAAGUGACAUUAUUCGAAAUGGGAUUAUUUAAAUUAUCAGAGUCGCCACUUGGAAUAGUUUAUUUGGCGUCCAAAGUCACCGGUUUAUUUUAAAUCCCAGAUAGAGGAAGUUUCGAGUUUGUUUUAAAAGUCUGCGAACCAAAAAUUCUAGAUAAGAAAUUCUGUUAACCCGGGAGAAGGUGUUAGGCAUUCCCGGGUUCCGUGGUUCUAGCACGGUCGCUUAGUGAUUUAUACUUGGCUUAAGUUGUCUAUUACUUAUUUUAGGACCUAUGUGCAUAUACCUUUUACCGCUUUUAGUCACUUGAUUUAUUCGUAAUUAAAGAAUUGAGUUACACGUACGUAUACUCUUUUCCUUUGGCGGGUCAAAAUCAUGUCACGCGACGUAUCCACAAUUAAUAACGCUUUAUUUAUUUUAUUAAGAAAAGUUUGGUUGAAGUUGCGUGAACGCAUCCCUCGGGUUACUUUUAGAAUUAAAUUAACAAUUAUGUUACACGAACGUAUAUAUAAUCGCAAUACUAAUAUAAAUCAGGCCUAAAGCAAACUACGAUUAUUUAGGGUUAUUCUAAUACUAAAUUAAUAUUUAUAUGAGGGCCAUAGGUUAUUUGGUGAAAUAUGGCAUACCUCAAUUUUAGAAGGCUUGUUUAAUUAAGGUAAUAAAAGGAGUUCUUACUCACAACUAUUUUGGACUUAAUGUCAAACUAAUAAUUAUAGGUAGGGAAAUAUGAGGCAGGUCUUUAUUUAUUUGAAAGAAUCUGGGCCAGUAUUAGGCCCGAUGUAUUAUUGAGCAUGCGAAAGAAAGGGAAGUGGAGAUGUCACCAAUUGGGCUCCAAAAUCGGGCCAUGUGCAGGACCAAAGGGAAAUUGAAUAACAUGGGUCCGAUUUGGCUAGGAAUCACGACUUGGGCCAUCAGUAGGCCCAAUUUUUCAAUGAUCAAGUCUUUAAAUACUAAAAACAACUACUGCAAUCACAACAAAACCUUUAUGCCAAUAUUUGCAUAGAUUUUAAAACAGAACACAUAAUAUGAUAGGCCCUAACUAAUUAACAUGUAUCUAAUAAUAACAAGAGCAAAUUACAAUCUACACCAUUUUAAAACACGGAUGAACAUCAACUUUUAAAAAUGCAUGGAAUCAGUAGUGAUUAAGGGCUAAAUGAUUGUAUUUUUUACAAGAGGACUAACUCUUAUUUACAAGAUGUAUAACAGACCUUUCAAUUGAAACAUCUAUUCUAAAUCAAAAAUUUAAAGCUUCCAAAUAACUUACACAUCACAGCCACACUAGCAAAGAAGAAAUCCAGCUAUAAUACUAGCACUCCUCAUGACUUACAUGAAUAUGUUUAUUUAAAAGGAGUCUAAAACAGUCCUACAUAUAAAGUCCUUCAAAUAAUAGUCCAGUCUCUUAUGUACACAUGAAAUUCCAAUUCUAAUUUUCAGCUCAAAAGCUAAGAUAAAAUUGGAUAAAAAUAGAUAUCGAUUUUACAUAAUGAAAUGAGGACUUAAACAGACGAAGGGAAGGAAUAAAAACAAAAAAAAGAAAUAAAGAAAAGAAGCAAGAAAGUGUUUUAAAGAAAAGAAGAAGCAUAGAUCUGCAGCUUCAAUAUCUAGCCAAGCAUAUUAUAACUUCAACUUUGUAUUUCAUGGUUUGGUGAAGUACCUGAUACAGCAACAAGGAAAGCAAAAUCCUGAGGUCAAAACAAUAUGAAAAUCGACCAGGAAAACAGCAACCAAAGCAACAACUAAAAUCACAGCUUCAAUGACCAACUCUACUUCAACUUAGAACCUAGAAAUUCCCAUGAAAUAGAACCCUUUUGUAAAAAAAAAAAAAACUAGUAUGCUUUUCGAGUAAACUUAGA